GCGAAAUCCCUGGUCGGCCAUGGCCAGCUGCGUCGACGGCGACGCCUGAGGGCGUCGUUCCCCUCCUUGGAGGCGUCGGUAUGGACUGAUCCCCUCACUUCCCCUUCCCCUAGGUCUCCCGGGCGAAAGCCCUAACUUCGUUGGGCGGCGACGGCGCUCACGGCGCCGUUCCCUUCUUGAAGGCGCCGCUUUUGGGAACCUUGGGGCUGGGUGGCGAUUGUGGGUGGUGGGCAAUGGCGGUGGUGCGACCCUAUCCUAGCAUGGAUCUGCGUCCGUUGCUUGAAGAUGGACUCGCGUAGGUGGAGGUCGUCGUUUGGCGUCCUGGUGGCGUCGAUGGCGAAGACACCUGUCAAGGUUGGCACCUCAAUCUGCUCUGAAGAUGGACCAGUGGAAGAUGAUGGCGACGACACAUGUGAGUGCGUCGGACCGGUUUGUGCCCCGGACCCGGUAUGUGGCUUGGUCGGGGCCUCCGGCUUUAGAUGUUAGGCUUAGAUGACAGGUCUGGGUAUUUGGCCCAGCUUGCAUCCCUUCAUAUUGGAGUAGCGGCAAAUGUUGUCAAGAUGGCGGAUUCAGGUGCCAAGCAGGCCACUGCACGAGAUUAGGAGACAGUGCGGCUGCGUGGGACGCGUACGCAGCGACAAAACGAGGGGUCACGGUCUCACAGAUCGAAGGGUAAGCAACAAGGGACUGAUCCUCUAACGUUAAGAAGGAAAGUUAGGGAAGCUAAAAUACCUUAACUUUCCUUCUCUAUAUCCAUAUGAUUAUGGCUAAAACGCUUUAAAUUAAUUUGUAAAUUGAUGAUCUACUUUAUACAUUUAUAGUAAUUACAUACAAACAAAUUGAUGAUGAAAUAAAAUCAUUUUUAAAUUA
Aegilops tauschii subsp. strangulata is the source of this 870-nucleotide long non-coding RNA. RefSeq lists it as uncharacterized. The record is from RefSeq and is a predicted model, not a curated record. Lineage: Eukaryota; Viridiplantae; Streptophyta; Magnoliopsida; Poales; Poaceae.